Molecule: ribosomal RNA, 1372 nt
Filed under: uncultured bacterium
Lineage: Bacteria
Description: bacterial SSU rRNA
Rfam family: Bacterial small subunit ribosomal RNA
Source: RNAcentral
GAUGAACGCUGGCGGCGUGCCUAAUACAUGCAAGUCGAGCGAACGGACGAGAAGCUUGCUUCUCUGAUGUUAGCGGCGGACGGGUGAGUAACACGUGGAUAACCUACCUAUAAGACUGGGAUAACUUCGGGAAACCGGAGCUAAUACCGGAUAAUAUUUUGAACCGCAUGGUUCAAAAGUGAAAGACGGUCUUGCUGUCACUUAUAGAUGGAUCCGCGCUGCAUUAGCUAGUUGGUAAGGUAACGGCUUACCAAGGCAACGAUGCAUAGCCGACCUGAGAGGGUGAUCGGCCAUACUGGAACUGAGACACGGUCCAGACUCCUACGGGAGGCAGCAGUAGGGAAUCUUCCGCAAUGGGCGAAAGCCUGACGGAGCAACGCCGCGUGAGUGAUGAAGGUCUUCGGGUCGUAAAACUCUGUUAUUAGGGAAGAACAUAUGUGUAAGUAACUGUGCACAUCUUGACGGUACCUAAUCAGAAAGCCACGGCUAACUACGUGCCAGCAGCCGCGGUAAUACGUAGGUGGCAAGCGUUAUCCGGAAUUAUUGGGCGUAAAGCGCGCGUAGGCGGUUUUUUAAGUCUGAUGUGAAAGCCCACGGCUCAACCGUGGAGGGUCAUUGGAAACUGGAAAACUUGAGUGCAGAAGAGGAAAGUGGAAUUCCAUGUGUAGCGGUGAAAUGCGCAGAGAUAUGGAGGAACACCAGUGGCGAAGGCGACUUUCUGGUCUGUAACUGACGCUGAUGUGCGAAAGCGUGGGGAUCAAACAGGAUUAGAUACCCUGGUAGUCCACGCCGUAAACGAUGAGUGCUAAGUGUUAGGGGGUUUCCGCCCCUUAGUGCUGCAGCUAACGCAUUAAGCACUCCGCCUGGGGAGUACGACCGCAAGGUUGAAACUCAAAGGAAUUGACGGGGACCCGCACAAGCGGUGGAGCAUGUGGUUUAAUUCGAAGCAACGCGAAGAACCUUACCAAAUCUUGACAUCCUUUGACAACUCUAGAGAUAGAGCCUUCCCCUUCGGGGGACAAAGUGACAGGUGGUGCAUGGUUGUCGUCAGCUCGUGUCGUGAGAUGUUGGGUUAAGUCCCGCAACGAGCGCAACCCUUAAGCUUAGUUGCCAUCAUUAAGUUGGGCACUCUAAGUUGACUGCCGGUGACAAACCGGAGGAAGGUGGGGAUGACGUCAAAUCAUCAUGCCCCUUAUGAUUUGGGCUACACACGUGCUACAAUGGACAAUACAAAGGGCAGCGAAACCGCGAGGUCAAGCAAAUCCCAUAAAGUUGUUCUCAGUUCGGAUUGUAGUCUGCAACUCGACUACAUGAAGCUGGAAUCGCUAGUAAUCGUAGAUCAGCAUGCUACGGUGAAUACGUUCCCGGGUCU